RNAcentral lists this ribosomal RNA (489 nucleotides) under uncultured bacterium. RNAcentral's name for it is "partial 16S ribosomal RNA". It matches the Rfam family "Bacterial small subunit ribosomal RNA", at positions 28 to 507 of the family's 1533-position model. The record is from RNAcentral.
GAUGAACGCUAGCGGGAGGCCUAACACAUGCAAGCCGAGCGGGAUUUGUUGGUUAGCUUGCUAACUAACAAUGAGAGCGGCGUACGGGUGCGUAGCACGUGUGCAACCUGCCUUUAUCUGGGGGAUAGCCUUUCGAAAGGAAGAUUAAUACCCCAUAACAUAUUGAUUGGCAUCAGUUAAUAUUGAAAGCUCCGGCGGAUAGAGAUGGGCACGCGUAAGAUUAGCUAGUUGGUGAGGUAACGGCUCACCAAGGCUGCGAUCUUUAGGGGGCCUGAGAGGGUGAUCCCCCACACUGGUACUGAGACACGGACCAGACUGCUACGGGAGGCAGCAGUAAGGAAGAUUGGACAAUGGGUGAGAGCCUGAUCCAGCCAUCCCGCGUGAAGGACUAAGGACCUAGGGUUUGUAAACUUCUGUUAUACAGGGAUAAACCUACUCUCGUGAGGGUAGCUGAAGGUACUGUAUGAAUAAGCACCGGCUAACUCCGUG